AUGGAGCCCCUCUCGUCUCGUUUUUAUAUACACGGUCGAACCGCCUCGUUGGAAACACCACGAAGCGCUUACGCUAGCUGUAGUUCACGAGCGAUGGCGCGCCCGCCGCUCCUCUCCGGUGGAGCCAUGUACGUCCCGCCGCGCCAGACAGCAGCGACCGGCAACUCCGACGACACGUCCGGCACGGCAUACCAGCGGCGGACCUGGGACGCGCUGAGGCGCAGCAUAACCGGCCUAGUGAUCAAGGCCACGGCCGCCAACAUCCGCCACGUCCUGCCGGAGCUCCUUGCCGAGAACCUCGUCCGCGGGCGCGGCCUUCUCUGCCGCGCGCUGCUCAAGUCCCAGGCCGCCUGCCCGGCACUCACCGACGUGUUCGCCGCCAUCGCGGCCGUCGUCAACUCCAAGAUCCCGGCCGUCGGCCGGCUGCUCCUCGACCGCCUCGUGGUGCGCCUUCGGCGCGCCUACGGCGUGGCGCACGAGCUGCUCGCGCUGGAGCUUGUCGAGAUGCUGCUCGCUUAUCCUACGGACGACGGCGUGGAGGUGGCCGUGGUGGUCGUCACGGAGUGCGGCGCCGCCCUCACCGAGUCGUGCCCCAGGGAGCUCGACGCCGUGUUCGACGCCCUCCGGAGCAUCCUCGUCAACGGCGACGUGGACCGGCGCAUCGGGUUCUUGAUCGAGGGCCUCUUUGCGGUCCGGAGAACUCGGUUCCGGGAGCACCCGCCCGCACGUCCGGAGCUUGACCUCGUCGAGAGGAGGACCACCUACGAGGACCUCAAACGAAGCAUGCUCGGAGCCGACGGCGAUGACGAAGACAAAGACCAAGACAACUACGAUGAGUCUGACGACGACGAGGAAGACAUGGAGGUGAUCAAGGACGAGACGGUGACCAAUCUGAUCAACCUCCGUCGGACGAUAUACCAGACGAUCAUGUCGAGCGCCGGCGCCGACGAGGCCGGGCACAAGCUCCUGUCGAUCGUGAGGCCAGGCCAGGAGGCGGCGUCGUCCAACGCAAGGUUCUACGGCCAGCUCGGGCAGCGGCUGUGCGCGAUCAGCCGCGCGUACCAGGCAGGCUUCGAGGCGUGCUUCGCGCGGUGCUACGCGGCGGCGCACCGCAUGGGCACCGACGAGCUGCGUGCCGCUGCCGGGCUCUUCGCGCACCUGCUGGCGGCAGCGGCGUGCUGGGCGGGGUCAGGAUUACGGAGGAGGACACCACCUCAUCGCACUAGUAGAAAAAGGGCUCCCGGUCCAUUCCACCAACCGGGACAAAAGGGUUGGUCCUCGUUGCGGCCAAAGUUUAGUCCCAUCUCGCCAACCGAAGGGAAAUCAGACCGGUUUAUAAGCCCCCCCCUCUCUGCCUUAUUGAGCUUCUCUGAAAAUGAAAGUAGAUGCUCUUAUAUAGGGAAUUUAGCCUAA
RNAcentral lists this ribosomal RNA (1413 nucleotides) under Triticum aestivum (bread wheat). RNAcentral's name for it is "partial small subunit ribosomal RNA". The record is from RNAcentral. Lineage: Eukaryota; Viridiplantae; Streptophyta; Magnoliopsida; Poales; Poaceae.